GAUGAACGCUGGCGGCGUGCCUAAUACAUGCAAGUCGAGCGAACAGACGAGGAUCUUGCUCCUCUGACGUUAGCGGCGGACGGGUGAGUAACACGUGGAUAACCUACCUAUAAGACUGGGAUAACUUCGGGAAACCGGAGCUAAUACCGGAUAACAUGUUGAACCGCAUGGUUCAACAGUGAAAGACGGUCUUGCUGUCACUUAUAGAUGGAUCCGCGCCGCAUUAGCUAGUUGGUAAGGUAACGGCUUACCAAGGCAACGAUGCGUAGCCGACCUGAGAGGGUGAUCGGCCACACUGGAACUGAGACACGGUCCAGACUCCUACGGGAGGCAGCAGUAGGGAAUCUUCCGCAAUGGGCGAAAGCCUGACGGAGCAACGCCGCGUGAGUGAAGAAGGUCUUCGGAUCGUAAAACUCUGUUAUUAGGGAAGAACAAAUGUGUAAGUAACUAUGCACGUCUUGACGGUACCUAAUCAGAAAGCCACGGCUAACUACGUG
This 497-nucleotide ribosomal RNA is filed under the name uncultured bacterium. RNAcentral's name for it is "partial 16S ribosomal RNA". It matches the Rfam family "Bacterial small subunit ribosomal RNA", at positions 28 to 507 of the family's 1533-position model. The record is from RNAcentral.